RNAcentral lists this ribosomal RNA (1559 nucleotides) under Enterobacteriaceae endosymbiont of Macroplea mutica. RNAcentral describes it as "bacterial SSU rRNA". It matches the Rfam family "Bacterial small subunit ribosomal RNA". Lineage: Bacteria; Pseudomonadati; Pseudomonadota; Gammaproteobacteria; Enterobacterales; Enterobacteriaceae. The record is from RNAcentral.
UUAACUGAAGAGUUUGAUCAUGGCUCAGAUUGAACGCUGGCGGCAAGCCUAACACAUGCAAGUCGUGCGGCAACGAGAUGAAAAUUAUGUAAAUUUUUUUUAUUGUCGGCGAGCGGCGAACGGGUGAGUAAUAUCUGGGGAUCUGCCUUAUAGAUUGGGAUAACUAUUGGAAACGAUGGCUAAUACCGAAUAAUAUCGCAAGAUUAAAGGUGGGGGAUCUUUUAAGACCUCAUGCUAUAAGAGGAACCCAGACGGGAUUAGCUUGUAGGUAAGGUAAUGGCUUACCUAGGCAACAAUCUCUAGCUGGUCUGAGAGGAUGAUCAGCCACACUGGAACUGAGACACGGUCCAGACUCCUACGGGAGGCAGCAGUGGGGAAUCUUGCACAAUGGGCGAAAGCCUGAUGCAGCUAUGCCGCGUGUAUGAAGAAGGCCUUAGGGUUGUAAAGUACUUUCAAUAAGGAAGAAGCAAUAAAAUCUAAUAUAUUUUAUUGUUGACGUUACUUAUAAAAGAAGCACCGGCUAACUCCGUGCCAGCAGCCGCGGUAAUACGGAGGGUGCUAGCGUUAAUCGGAAUUACUGGGCGUAAAGAGCACGUAGGCGGUUUAUUAAGUCAGAUGUGAAAUCCCUAAGCUUAACUUAGGAACUGCAUUUGAAACUAAUUUACUUGAGUAUCAUAGAGGGGAGUAGAAUUCCAGGUGUAGCGGUGAAAUGCGUAGAUAUCUGGAGGAAUACCAGUGGCGAAGGCGACUCCCUGGAUGAAUACUGACGCUCAGGUGCGAAAGCAUGGGGAGCAAACAGGAUUAGAUACCCUGGUAGUCCAUUGCUGUAAACGAUGUCGACUUGGAGGUUGUGAGCUUGUCUUGUAGCUUCCGUAGCUAACGCGUUAAGUCGACCGCCUGGGGAGUACGACCGCAAGGUUAAAACUCAAAUGAAUUGACGGGGGCCCGCACAAGCGGUGGAGCAUGUGGUUUAAUUCGAUGCAACGCGAAGAACCUUACCUGGUCUUGACAUCCAUGGAAUUUAAUAGAGAUAUUUUAGUGCCUUCGGGAACCAUGAGACAGGUGCUGCAUGGCUGUCGUCAGCUCGUGUUGUGAAAUGUUGGGUUAAGUCCCGCAACGAGCGCAACCCUUGUCCUUUGUUGCCAACGGUUUGGCCGGGAACUCAAAGGAGACUGCUGGUGAUAAGCCGGAGGAAGGUGGGGAUGACGUCAAGUCAUCAUGGCCCUUACGACCAGGGCUACACACGUGCUACAAUGGUAUAUACAAAGGGCAGCAUCCUCGCAAGAGUAAGCGAAUCUCAUAAAAUAUAUCUUAGUUCGGAUUGGAGUCUGCAACUCGACUCUAUGAAGUCGGAAUCGCUAGUAAUCGUAGAUCAGAAUGCUACGGUGAAUACGUUCCCGGGCCUUGUACACACCGCCCGUCACACCAUGGAAGUGAGUUGUAAAAGAAGUAAGUUGUUUAACCAUAAAAGGAGAACGCUUACCACUUUGUGAUUCAUGACUGGGGUGAAGUCGUAACAAGGUAACCGUAGGGGAACCUGUGGUUGGAUCACCUCCUUU